AUAAGAUAAAUAUAGCCAAUUCUUGAUUCAUGAUAUUUUAUGUUUGACAAAUGGUCAUGUCUACCUAGAAAGUGGAUAAAUUUUCUCAGUAGAGUAGGGGUAUAAAGCAGGAAACUAAACCAUUCCAUGAUAAAGGCAUUUAAAUCCUUUAAUGAAAAACUCGAGUUGUCAUAAUGAUUUUAGUAGCAAAACUAGCAACAUCUUAUAUGAUAAGAACAUGUGCCUUUUGUAAUCAGAAGCAAGCUAUGUUGCAUCACUUCUAGCUUAACUUUUUGUAAUGCAUGAUGUUGCACAUUGUGACAUAUUCAUUCGAGAAAGCUGAGCUUUAGCUUCAAGGGAAGCUAGUACAAACUUGUGAAGUAACUACAUGAUAUAUGGCAGUUAUGAUGUUGGUGAUGCAGUGUUGUUAAAUGGCGGCCAUGGCGGCGCCAUGGCGGAUUUUCGUGGCAGAUUUUCAAAAAAACGCCACCGAAUAGCGGUGGCAUGGUGGCGGAAAUGGCGGAUUUUUUUUGCUUUUUGUCCGCGGUAGGAGUUGGGCUGACCCGACCCAACCCUACCCGGUAUUAGAAAGAUGUUUACUUCUAAGGAGCCUAAGGGAAAAGAAACUGCAAAGGUAGUGCUCAUGCCUUCUUUUUGGAAUAGUGUGGUUUACACUCUUAAAGUCAUGGCUCCACUUGUGAAAGUGCUUCGUCUUGUGGAUGGUGAAAGGAAACCAGCCAUGGGCUAUAUUUAUGAAGCAAUGGACAAGGCAAAAGAAACAAUUAUCAAGUCUUUCAACAACAAUGAAAGCAAGUACAAAGAUGUGUUUGCAAUCAUUGAUAAAAGAUGGAAUUGUUAGCUUCAUAGGCCAUUGCAUGCAGCUGCCCACUUCUUAAAUUCAGAGUUCUUUUAUGACAACACUGACUUGGAGUUUGAUUUUGAGGUCACCAAUGGUUUGUUUGAGUGCAUUAAGAAGUUGAUUCCACAAUUUGAUGUGCAACAAAAAAUUCUAACCGAGUUACAUCUUUACAAGAUUGGUGCUGACCACUUUGGUUCCGACUUUGCAAUGGCUCAAAGGAAAACCCAUUCUCCUACAUAUUGGUGACGAAUGUUUGGGUCACAAACUCCAAAUUUGCAGAAGCUAGCUAUUAAAAUUUUGAGUUUGACUUGCAGUGCUUCAGGAUGUGAAAGAAAUUGGAGUGUGUUUGAGCAAAUUCAUUCCAAAAAAAGAAAUAGACUUGAGCACAAGAGGUUGCAUGAUUUGGUGUUUGUCAAAUACAACCAACAAUAGAAGCAAAGAUAUAAUGCAAGAGAUGAAAUUGAUCCAAUUUCUCUUAAUGAUAUUGAUGUAUGCAAUGAAUGGCUCGUGGGAGAGAUGGAUCAAGAUGAUGAUAAUGAUGCUGGAAAUGAUUUGGUAUUUGAAGAUGAUGAUGCUCUAAAUUGGGCAACUGUGUAUCAGGCUUCGGGGGUUGGAGAGUGUAGGAUGUAUACUAGGCGGAAAAAGCAAAAAACAAGUGUUGCUGCUGCCCAAACUUCUAAAAAAACAGGCAAUGGUUGUUGGAUCUUCAUCAAGGAAGCAAAAAGCAAUCCAAGAAAAUGAUGAGGAUCUAGAUGUUGAGGAGAAUAUUGAUGUUGAAUCUGAAGAAGAAGAAAUCAUGGUCAAUUUUGAGGCGUCUGAUGGGGAAGAGGGAGAGGGAGAUGCUCCAUUACCAUAUGAUAACAAUGAAGAUGAUUAUGUUGGGAUUGGAGAAGAUGAUUAGAGCCUCAACCUUCACUUUGCACUUUGCAUUAUGUUUUUAUCAUUUUCUUAUUUUGAACUCUUUAAUGAGUUUA
This is a long non-coding RNA of Glycine soja, 1812 nucleotides long. RefSeq lists it as uncharacterized. The record is from RefSeq and is a predicted model, not a curated record. Lineage: Eukaryota; Viridiplantae; Streptophyta; Magnoliopsida; Fabales; Fabaceae. The transcript is spliced from 3 exons.